RNAcentral lists this ribosomal RNA (480 nucleotides) under uncultured bacterium. RNAcentral describes it as "bacterial SSU rRNA". It matches the Rfam family "Bacterial small subunit ribosomal RNA", at positions 28 to 526 of the family's 1533-position model. The record is from RNAcentral.
GACGAACGCUGGCGGCGUGCUUAACACAUGCAAGUCGAACGGAAAGGCCCGCUUGCGGGUACUCGAGUGGCGAACGGGUGAGUAACACGUGGGCAACCUGCCCUCAGCUCUGGGAUAACCCCCGGAAACGGGAGCUAAUACCGGAUACCGAUCGAACGCCGCAUGGCGAUCGAUCCAAAGUUUUUUCGGCUGAGGAUGGGCCCGCGGCCUAUCAGCUUGUUGGUGGGGUGAUGGCCUACCAAGGCGACGACGGGUAGCCGGCCUGAGAGGGCGACCGGCCACACUGGAACUGAGACACGGUCCAGACUCCUACGGGAGGCAGCAGUGGGGAAUAUUGCGCAAUGGGCGAAAGCCUGACGCAGCGACGCCGCGUGAGGGAUGACGGCCUUCGGGUUGUAAACCUCUUUCGACAGGGACGAAUCAAGACGGUACCUGUAUAAGAAGCACCGGCUAACUACGUGCCAGCAGCCGCAGUAAAAC